This 420-nucleotide unclassified non-coding RNA is filed under the name soil metagenome. Its description in RNAcentral is "partial contains 5.8S ribosomal RNA, internal transcribed spacer 2, and large subunit ribosomal RNA". The stretch from base 1 to 120 matches the Rfam family "5.8S ribosomal RNA", at positions 35 to 154 of the family's 154-position model. The record is from RNAcentral.
GAUGAAGAACGUAGCGAAAUGCGAUAAGUAAUGUGAAUUGCAGAUUUCAGUGAAUCAUCGAAUCUUUGAACGCACCUUGCGCCUUGUGGUAUUCCACAAGGCAUGCCCGUUUGAGUAUCAUUAAAUCAUCAACUCUAAAACCUUUGUGGUUUUUUUAGAGCUUGGUCUUGAGGGUUUUGCAGGCUUUUUUUUUUUCGAGUCUGCUCCCUUUAAAUGCAUUAGCGAGACUUCCCUAUGCUGAACCGUCUCUUUGACGUGAUAAUUAUCUGCGUCGAAUUUUGGUUCUCGUUGGGCUUGCUUCUAAUCGUCUGUUAAAGACAAAACGGAUUUGGGUGCAUAUAUGCGCCUUUUUCCAAAACCUUUUUUGAUCUCAAAUCGGGUAGGACUACCCGCUGAACUUAAGCAUAUCAAUAAGCGGGA